UAAUAAUAUCAUCUCACAAUGGCCAAUGCCACUUACUCAGGAUUGAGUGUCGACAACAGAGAAGAAUAAAGCUUCUAAGCUUGAAAUGAAAUGGAUUUCCUGAUCUAAAGAUCAUCUAAACAGUCUGUUUGCCAGGUAUGUUCACAGCCUGUGCAUACAAUACAAAUUCAUUACAUGAUUUUACAAUCAGUGCUGUGCAUGUAAAUUGACAAUAUGAUUCUACAAAAAUUAGUGUGAUUCUAACAUGUGCUACCAACAUUUUCGUACUCAUCAUGAGUUUUCUUACUGAUUUGGCAUUAGCCAUGCUCGCAACUGCUACCAAAGAUGCCACUUGGGACGUGGCUGACUAGAAGUACUACCGGAGCUUGGAGUUACAGUGAUUCUUUCUGCAUUUGCAGCAACCCAUUUGCUGAAAUCAGGAGAGGCAACAAGUUCUUUGACAGCUUUUCGCGUGGAGUCUCUAGUGAAAUUUCCCCACGAAUCUUUUGAGAAUCUUCUCCUUUCAGGAGUACGAUGGAAGGUUGAAGGAUAAAUAUCUGAAUCUGAGAGUUGAUGACGUGAUGUUUUGCUAACACCUUGCAUCGGUGAACUGCAUGAAGCCAAGUUGAAUCGUUUGGCCUGACGCCAGUCCUCAGGUGUCUUCAACAUUAUUCAUCAUUGGAAUUUCCAAGGUGAUAAAUCAAGAACAUGAGAUCCAAUCUGGAUGUUUUUGGCGAAUAUGAACAACUUCUUGUACAGUUGACGCAAAAAUCUUAAUCUAAAAAUUCUUCUCAAUAUUGAUGAGACCACUAUUCCAGAUAUUAAUGCUUCAACUGCCAGUAGGGGAUCCAAAGAAUUCUAGAAACAGCAUGUCCAUGAUGAAAUUUGUUUCAUAUGAAAUUAUGAUCCCAUAAAAGUAAUUAUGAGCAAGAGAAUAGUCUCUUCAUGCACAAAAAAUUGAAAAAUUUCAAGCUUAAAGGAGGAAGUAAAACUACCUGAAGAAUCUUAAUGAAAGCCAAAACCUAUAGACGAGGCAACAAAAAGAGAUGUACUUAUAUCAACUGAUCCAUCUUCUGUUAGGACAAGUUUAUGGACAGCCCAGAAACCCAUCCAUGCUCCAGCCAAAACAACAAAAGCCAGCAAAAAAACGACCAACUGCAGUAUAUAAAAUAAAGACUUAAUGAGCUUAUAUUUUUAUGUAUCUACAAAGGCAUUAAAACAUUGGUAGGAUUACUCUUCGAAUGUUAAAACUGACUAGGCAACAAUUUGCAAACCUCAAAAAUAAAGGAGUAAUUCUGGGGCAUUAUAAAUUCAUAAAUCUGAUUUCUUAUUUAUACGAUUGAUUUUUCAUGAGUCCAAAUCAUGGUCAUUCAUUUGAAUUCUGCAAUUGGCAUAUGAUAAGUGAUGCAGUUGAUUGACCUGUGAAAAGGCCUAAACCAUCACCAUUUGGACCCAUCAAAGAACAGCUGAAUUUUCAGGAUAACAAUAUGGAACAACAUAUCACAACCACUAAGUUUACAGCAGCAACUUUGUAAAAUACAUAAAACCUGAUUGAUUCAUUUCAUAGUUGACUAACUACUCAUUGGCACCCAAAACUACACAUUUUUCUAUUCCACUGACUGGCGUUCAACGAGAAAAUUCUUUGGGAAAAAAAAUAUGAAGCUACACUCUUCUUCAGAAUGGUCACAAGAAUAAUUAUCAUAAUAUCUAUAACUUACAUACAGGAUAAUACAUAUCUUCACUGAUUCAUAUCUCCACAAGUACUGAACGCAAUAGUCCUGGCAAGUAGCGAAGAAGAAAGGAUCCCAGACCAACAAGAGAUGAGCAUAUGAAAAUUGCAAGUGAGUUCUUUUGACCAGUUGGCAGAAGCUUCAUCCCCCGUCAAUAACCCAGUCUUUUUCAGUUGCCUUAUAUCAAUCAUGAUAAGAGUAUGGUAACAGCAAUUAGAAAAAUUCAAAAUAGAUGAGAAGUCCAAUUGGGAUCAAGUAUCAAAUGGAGAAUUGAGGUAAAGCUACACAGUUUCCACUCCAAAUUCUGUCAGUGGUACUCAACAUUCAACAACAACAAAAAAGGGAGGACAAAAAAUAAGCCAAAAGGCAAAAUAAGUUUUAGAUGCUAGAAGCAGUAUUCCAAGCAUUUAUUUCCACAUUCAAUAAGGUUAAUGAAAAUAUAUAUCGACAGCAUAGAUAACAAAAGUCACAAACAUAAUCCACAUUUUCAACAACAAAGGAUGGGAAAACUACAUCACCUGAAAAAGGACCACCAAUAUUACAAGGAUGAUCCCAAUUGUCAUGGCACUGCUGUAGUAAAAAGCUAAUGACUUGCUCGAAGAGGAUGAUAAACUCAACAAAACAAUGCCCAAGAUUAAGAAAACCACAUGAUACAUGAAAAAUUCUUCUUCAAUGGACAGUUGAAGGUUUUCCAAGGAAGAACUAGGCAUCCUUAUAUCUAACAGCUUGUUGUCAAAUGGUGACAUGGCUCGAACCCAUGAAAUCUUAUCAACCUUCUCCAACUUACCUUGAGGGCACAUCCCUAUCCCAAGGGAAGCAUUCCUAAAGAGCGUUCAUGCGCAGAGACAACAGGGCAAAAAAUUUGAAAAGGUGAGAGAGAAACCGAAGAAAGAAAAUGCAGUUCCAACAGGUACUGCUGUCUGGAUUUGGUGAUAGAGAGAAGGCCCGAGUUGAAAAAGGAAAACGAAUUUACAGGUCGCCUUCCUCAAAGGGUAUAUUGAGCAUUGAGCUUCCCACUAUUCCAAUUUCUAUACAGCAAAUACUCUCUACAGCCUACACCGACAAAUAAUAAUAAGAUCAGUCUUCCAGCCUUGACUCAUGGGCUGUUCUUACUAGUGCCUGGCUUCAACCCAUAAAGCUUCACUCAUGCAAUUAAAUAGAUUUUGCGUUUCUCUUGCUUAAUUAGGAGAGAUUUGGCAUUAAAA
This 2914-nucleotide unclassified non-coding RNA is filed under the name Hevea brasiliensis (rubber tree). The record is from RNAcentral. Lineage: Eukaryota; Viridiplantae; Streptophyta; Magnoliopsida; Malpighiales; Euphorbiaceae.